Long non-coding RNA from Carassius gibelio (silver crucian carp), 1689 nucleotides. RefSeq lists it as uncharacterized. The transcript is spliced from 2 exons. The record is from RefSeq and is a predicted model, not a curated record. NCBI's taxonomy places the organism in Eukaryota, Metazoa, Chordata, Actinopteri, Cypriniformes, Cyprinidae.
CUCAAGAUCUUCGCAAUUUAACAUCGCAAAGGCCUUUAGAUUAGGCAUACCAAAUUUGGUGUUGAUUUGAAGAAAUCUCUAGGAGGAGUUCGUUAAAAUACAACACAUGGAAAUGACCAAAAUUACACAAAAUUUGCUCAUAAUAUUAAAAAUAACCGACUUCCUGUUGGGUUUAGAAUUUUGCUCCAAGAGUCUUUUUUGUAGGUAUUGGUGUGUUACAUAUGUGUGCCAAUUUUCGUGCAUGUACGUGAAACAUAGCCGGAAGGCUGUUGAUUUUCUUAGUAUAGGUGGCGCUGUCGAGCCAUUUUGCCACACCCUCUUCUGAAUCCUAUAUCAGACGAAAAUUUUCACCAGGUUUGACGCGUGUGCAAAGUUUCAUGACUUUUUGAGCAUGUUAAAGCCCUCAAAAAUGCGAUUCAUUCGAGAAAAGAAGAAGAAGAAUAAUAAUAAAUAUAGCUGCAAGCAGCGAUGGCGGGCUCAAGCCGUCAGUGCAACGCCACCCCGGUGGCAUCGGGAAAACUGUGCCCAGCGGGCAUAAGCAUUUACAGUAACCCUCUGGCAAUCAAAUUUUAAGGGAUAUGGCAGUUAAAGGGUUAAUCCGACCCGUCUAGACUUUGAAAUCACAUACACAGAACAAUAUAUAUAACUUUAGUAACACUUUAUUUUAAUUUAUAUAUAAAUGUAUAAGGUGUACAUUGUAGCUGACACCUAAAUUAACACAUUAAAAUUGUUUUAUGACUGCAAGUCUUUCUCCUCAAAUGCUAUUGAGCUUCAAAUUUGCUUUUGAGUCCAUGUGAAAAAGUAGCAUAAUUUACAUAUGACUUACAGUUUGUUUUAAUAAAUAUCAAACAUUCAAUUUAAUGGUGCAUUAUAGCUGUCACCUAGAUGAACAAUUUCAGUUGUUUUUAUGACUGUAAGUCAUUCUCUUCAAAUGCUACUGACGUUAGAAAAUUGUAUAACAAUAUCACAUGUAACUUAAGAGACGGUCCCUAAAUUUGAGACUCUCAAAUGUCCAAUGUCAAGCCAAAUUUAUGCCUGUUUUUGUUUUGUUUUUUACUUUAUUUUUCUUUUCUCUGUGCCGGAUUGCUGAUGACUUUUACCCGGGCAUAGAUGUCCAUCCAUCAAUUACGAACAUUCAUCCGCAAAUGUCCGAGCGGUCGCGAGCGCGGAUGGGAGAAUGGCGCAUGUUUUAUUUUACUGGGAUGGUGCCUCCUCUGGGAGUUGGUGCCCUACGAAGACUGCGUAUUCUGCAUAUAGGGAGCGGCGGUACUAUCUGGAAGAUAUAUUCCUCAAACCGUCGUACAAGAGGAGGUGAUGCUAGUACUUCAAGCAUCUCUCAAAACCUAUCUGUUCAUAAAGCCUAUAUAUAAAGUCUUAAUAUAGUAUUCCACAAUAUGUUGUGCUAUUCUAAUAUUAUUGUGGUUUUUUAUUGACAUUGUUAUUUGCUGUUAUUUUUUGUUUUAAUAUUGUUACUGUUGUUACUUGUUGUACGGUGACCUUGAGUGGUUUGAAAGGCGCCUUAAAUAAAAUGCAUUAUUAUUAUUAUUAUUAUUAUUAUUAUUAUUAUUAUUAUUAUUAGCUGUACACUUGAUAAAAAAAAUUAAAUAUAAACUUAUGCAAUUGUAUAUAUAUGUAUAUAUAGUGUACAGUUUUCUUUUAUUGCAUCUUGAAAUAAAUGUUUCUGAGUUC